GUGUAGAUCCUAUCUCCCCACCUGUGGUUCAGGGCUCCACGCUACCAAAGAAAUAGUAACAAGAAAAAAAAAAAAAUGACCAGCGUUGACUCAGGCUCCUUCUGUUACACUCCUCCCCUUUUUACUUGCGUUGGUGACUUGGACUUUAUCUCCAUGAUGUUUUUGUUUGCAACACUGAAGGAUGAGCUGGAUUGAGGGGAUGGUGCUGUCCUUUACCAAGCUGCCCCAGCCGAGGAUCGUGUUGCAGGCUUUCAAAGAUGACCGUUGCUGCUAGCCCCACUCCCUGCAUCCCUGCUUGGGAGGACUGCUGCCCAGUGGUGAAGAGCC
Long non-coding RNA from Tyto alba (common barn owl), 327 nucleotides. RefSeq lists it as uncharacterized. The transcript has 3 exons. The record is from RefSeq and is a predicted model, not a curated record. Lineage: Eukaryota; Metazoa; Chordata; Aves; Strigiformes; Tytonidae.